Long non-coding RNA from Sinocyclocheilus rhinocerous, 126 nucleotides. RefSeq lists it as uncharacterized. NCBI's taxonomy places the organism in Eukaryota, Metazoa, Chordata, Actinopteri, Cypriniformes, Cyprinidae. The record is from RefSeq and is a predicted model, not a curated record. The transcript is spliced from 3 exons.
CAUCGUUGCAGUCUGUGCAAAUACUCAAAGCCAAUAGAUGGAUCACUUGGUCAAAGGGCCCAAACAGGGUACGGACGGAAAUGACCAUUGGAGACAUAGUAACAUAGUCAUCCGUCAGUGAAGCAG